This 407-nucleotide ribosomal RNA is filed under the name uncultured bacterium. RNAcentral describes it as "partial 16S ribosomal RNA". It matches the Rfam family "Bacterial small subunit ribosomal RNA", at positions 30 to 526 of the family's 1533-position model. The record is from RNAcentral.
AUUGAACGCUGGCGGCAGGCCUAACACAUGCAAGUCGAGCGGAGCGGCGGACGGGUGAGUAAUGCCUAGGUGUCUGCCUGGUCGUGGGGGAUAAAGUCCGGAAACGGGCGCUAAUACCGCAUACUAUCAGAUGAGCCUAGGUCGGAUUAGCUAGUUGGUGGGGUAAAGGCCUACCAAGGCGACGAUCCGUAACUGGUCUGAGAGGAUGAUCAGUCACACUGGAACUGAGACACGGUCCAGACUCCUACGGGAGGCAGCAGUGGGGAAUAUUGGACAAUGGGCGAAAGCCUGAUCCAGCAAUGCCGCGUGUGUGAAGAAGGUCUUCGGAUUGUAAAGCACUUUAGGUUGGGAGGCGGUACCAACAGAAUAAGCACCGGCUAACUCCGUGCCAGCCGCCGCGGUAAUUC